RNAcentral lists this ribosomal RNA (404 nucleotides) under uncultured Brucellaceae bacterium. RNAcentral's name for it is "bacterial SSU rRNA". It matches the Rfam family "Bacterial small subunit ribosomal RNA", at positions 378 to 774 of the family's 1533-position model. The record is from RNAcentral. Lineage: Bacteria; Pseudomonadati; Pseudomonadota; Alphaproteobacteria; Hyphomicrobiales; Brucellaceae.
AAAGCCUGAUCCAGCCAUGCCGCGUGUGUGAAGAAGGUCUUCGGAUUGUAAAGCACUUUAAGUUGGGAGGAAGGGCAGUAAGUUAAUACCUUGCUGUUUUGACGUUACCAACAGAAUAAGCACCGGCUAACUUCGUGCCAGCAGCCGCGGUAAUACGAAGGGGGCUAGCGUUGUUCGGAUUUACUGGGCGUAAAGCGCACGUAGGCGGACUUUUAAGUCAGGGGUGAAAUCCCGGGGCUCAACCCCGGAACUGCCUUUGAUACUGGAAGUCUUGAGUAUGGUAGAGGUGAGUGGAAUUCCGAGUGUAGAGGUGAAAUUCGUAGAUAUUCGGAGGAACACCAGUGGCGAAGGCGGCUCACUGGACCAUUACUGACGCUGAGGUGCGAAAGCGUGGGGAGCAAACA